This 1492-nucleotide ribosomal RNA is filed under the name uncultured organism. RNAcentral's name for it is "SSU rRNA". It matches the Rfam family "Bacterial small subunit ribosomal RNA". The record is from RNAcentral.
AUGAACGCUGGCGGCGUGCCUAAUACAUGCAAGUCGAACGAGUUCUGAUUAUUGAAAGGUGCUUGCAUCUUGAUUUAAUUUUGAACGAGUGGCGGACGGGUGAGUAACACGUGGGUAACCUGCCCUUAAGUGGGGGAUAACAUUUGGAAACAGAUGCUAAUACCGCAUAAAUCCAAGAACCGCAUGGUUCUUGGCUGAAAGAUGGCGUAAGCUAUCGCUUUUGGAUGGACCCGCGGCGUAUUAGCUAGUUGGUGAGGUAACGGCUCACCAAGGCAAUGAUACGUAGCCGAACUGAGAGGUUGAUCGGCCACAUUGGGACUGAGACACGGCCCAAACUCCUACGGGAGGCAGCAGUAGGGAAUCUUCCACAAUGGACGCAAGUCUGAUGGAGCAACGCCGCGUGAGUGAAGAAGGCUUUCGGGUCGUAAAACUCUGUUGUUGGAGAAGAAUGGUCGGCAGAGUAACUGUUGUCGGCGUGACGGUAUCCAACCAGAAAGCCACGGCUAACUACGUGCCAGCAGCCGCGGUAAUACGUAGGUGGCAAGCGUUAUCCGGAUUUAUUGGGCGUAAAGCGAGCGCAGGCGGUUUUUUAAGUCUGAUGUGAAAGCCCUCGGCUUAACCGAGGAAGUGCAUCGGAAACUGGGAAACUUGAGUGCAGAAGAGGACAGUGGAACUCCAUGUGUAGCGGUGAAAUGCGUAGAUAUAUGGAAGAACACCAGUGGCGAAGGCGGCUGUCUGGUCUGUAACUGACGCUGAGGCUCGAAAGCAUGGGUAGCGAACAGGAUUAGAUACCCUGGUAGUCCAUGCCGUAAACGAUGAAUGCUAGGUGUUGGAGGGUUUCCGCCCUUCAGUGCCGCAGCUAACGCAUUAAGCAUUCCGCCUGGGGAGUACGACCGCAAGGUUGAAACUCAAAGGAAUUGACGGGGGCCCGCACAAGCGGUGGAGCAUGUGGUUUAAUUCGAAGCAACGCGAAGAACCUUACCAGGUCUUGACAUCUUUUGAUCACCUGAGAGAUCAGGUUUCCCCUUCGGGGGCAAAAUGACAGGUGGUGCAUGGUUGUCGUCAGCUCGUGUCGUGAGAUGUUGGGUUAAGUCCCGCAACGAGCGCAACCCUUAUGACUAGUUGCCAGCAUUUAGUUGGGCACUCUAGUAAGACUGCCGGUGACAAACCGGAGGAAGGUGGGGAUGACGUCAAAUCAUCAUGCCCCUUAUGACCUGGGCUACACACGUGCUACAAUGGAUGGUACAACGAGUUGCGAGACCGCGAGGUCAAGCUAAUCUCUUAAAGCCAUUCUCAGUUCGGACUGUAGGCUGCAACUCGCCUACACGAAGUCGGAAUCGCUAGUAAUCGCGGAUCAGCACGCCGCGGUGAAUACGUUCCCGGGCCUUGUAUACACCGCCCGUCACACCAUGAGAGUUUGUAACACCCGAAGCCGGUGGCGUAACCCUUUUAGGGAGCGAGCCGUCUAAGGUGGGACAAAUGAUUAGGGUGA